This 3187-nucleotide long non-coding RNA is filed under the name Catagonus wagneri (Chacoan peccary). RNAcentral's name for it is "lncRNA (ENSCWAG00000011515.1)". Lineage: Eukaryota; Metazoa; Chordata; Mammalia; Artiodactyla; Tayassuidae. The record is from RNAcentral.
CUCAUCUGACGUAUUGGGUGGGAUAGAAGAAAGCUGGGAAUGUGCCAAGAGAAGUCUCUUUCAAGGCUGUCAGAAGCUGCUAUUAGCCUUGCUUCCACAAGGUCACUGCUGCGGGGAUCUUUCCUUGAGAGCUCGGAAAAUAAGCCUUGGAGGAACACUACUGAGUGUAUUUAAGCUGCCUGGUUUUCUCACCAUAGAACAGUCCUUGAGGGUGGGGACUGGAGCUUACUCAGGGGCAGCACCUGGCUCUGUCGCGUCUGCAGUAGGUGCUCGGUACAUUCGUGAACGGAACUGAUUUUCUCUCAGCGCUGUCAGGAGUAGCUGGCUGUUGUAGCACACCCCAUCCGCAUGAUGCUUUAACUGUGUAACUUCAGGUGUUGAGGGCUCAGGGUUCAGGUUAAAGAGGCACUGUCAACUUAUGUAUAAAAGUAUAAUAUAGGCUUUUCCUUUUUCUACUUGAAAAGGACCAGAUUUUUGAAAUAACCAUAUGUAAUUUAAAAGUUUGAAUCUAAAGCAGGGAAAAUUUUCUGCUUUUAGAAACUAAAAAUGUAGUUGAAUGCUACCUGGUUUAAAAACAGAGCAGGUAGCAGCAACAAAAGCCUUUCUACAAGGUGUUGAAAACUUUCUCAAGUGGCUAUAUGUGUGCAUACCUUUGGGGUACCACAGCUUGAAUCUUUUCAUGUACAGAUAAUAUGAUUUCACCCUAGAUUUGCUACCUUAAAAUGCAGUGUUUUAUGUAGACUACAUCUUGAUUGUACUUUAUGUGAAGUAUUUUCUUAAAAUGGCUUUGUGUGAAAUCAAAAUGUGUAUAUUUUCCUAGAGAUCUCCAUUGUGACUUUCAGAGACACAGCCUUAAAAAGUUGGCCCUGAGAAAUUCACUCUGUGUGUUUUCAGAUGGCCUCUAUACAUUGAGGUCAUUGGGUAUUGGAGAGCCUUCCCUAGCUGAAUUUUGGGGUUGAAGUUAGAAUUUUCUUACAAUUCGACUGAAAUUUGGUUAGUAAAAUAGUGCCCGGUUCAUAAAAUGCUGACUUUGCUAAGGCAAUACCAUAUUUAUUUAACAAAAUUGUGGAGAUUUUGAAUUCAAUGCUAUAGUAUUGGUAGUGAUUAAGAGUUCAGUCAGUCUAGAAGGCAAGUCACUUAACCUUCCUGGGCCUUAGUGUCCUCACUAGAAAACAGGGAUAAGAAUAGUAACUAUCUCAGGGUUCUUUUAAGGAUAAAAUGAGAUGUGUGUAAGAUACUUAGCUUGAGUGCCUGGCACAUAAUGAGUACUCCAUAAAUGUUAACUACUAUUAUUAUUAACAUUUAAUCUAGUGAGUCUUAGGGAUAUGCAACAAAAUUUUCUGGUAUUUAAAAAAAAAAGCAAAAAACCCUGAUGCAUUGGCCUUACCCCAGAUCAGAAUUCCCUGUGGGAUUGAGUCUCAGCCAGUGUGUUUUCCAAGAAUCCCUCCAGGUAUUUCAGACACGCAGCACUAUGUGAACACUAGCAAUACCCCAAAACUUUUCUUUACAGCUGAAGAAAUUGGGAGAGAAGAUGGUUAAGUUACUUGCCCAUUAUCUCAGAGCAGUUAAUUAGCAGCAGAGCCAAGGCUAGAGAUUGGGUCUAUUUUCUAGUGGGAUCUUUCCCCCAUUACUGCUGCCGUAGUGAGACGCUGCAAAAAAAAAAGGGGGGGGAGGGGGUCUCAGAUAGACAAUCAGUCUGCACGGUGCUGCACAUUUUGUAAAGCACACGUUUCCGGCACUGCCUGACCUUAAGGGCCUUGGAUGUUGAGUAACGGUAACACUAGCAAAGUAGGCAUUCAGUAGAACUCAGUAAUUAAAAAAAUUUCUAUGGGGUCAUUCUUUUGGACAGACCUCAGCGACAUAGCAAUUUGCACUUUGUAAUAAAGAAAUAACAACUUAAGUUUUAAAAAAAGCUAUUCUACAUUCCUUUUUCUUAAAAAAAGAAAACUUUAUUGUUCCAUGUCAUUUUAAUAACUUAUGAGAUAAUGUAUAAGAAAGCACUUUGAGAAAAGUAUCAAAUGUAAUAAAAGGUUGUAUUAAGGUUAGUUAAUGAGUUGCUGAUUGACUUAGAAGCUUUUGCCUGUGGAGGACCUGAAAACGUGAAUAUUUAAACAAUCAGCUCUGUAAUUUAUAACAUUUAUUAAUACGGAACUGGUAAAUUAAUACGUGCUGGUAUAGCAAGUGUUUUGCUAAAAUUGUAGCUCAGCACCGAAUAACUGCAGAAAACUAGGGACCAACGUUUUGGUUUAAUUUUAAUCUUUAAAAAGUAGUAAUGUGUACUCCAGAGCAAAGACGUUCUCCAGGGACCUUGACUCAAGAACGAGGCCCUCUCACCUUUGAACAUUUGUUCCUCAGAUGCUCAGCCAUUUAGUACCCUAAAUACGGUGGGAGAAGACUUGUUACUAGUUCAUGUUGACAGUGUCUUUUUUAACCUAUGUCCUGCAUAGUUCUGUUGGGUUUCUGGGGAGAAGAGGUUGGACGGCUGUAGGACCAAUGCACUUUGGGAAUUACUUUUCUAGGAUUUCUUACCAGUUAUAAAUGAUCUUGACAUUCAUCAUCCAUGGGUUUUGGUUUUUGUUUUUCCUAAGAAGAGUAGCUGAACAUAACUCGCCUAUUAAAUUAUAAAAAUACUCGAGACUAAAUUGCAUUGGUUGCCACUUCUGAAUUACAGCGUUUUCAUCCCUCGCACUCCCCUCUGUUUUUGCUACUGAUGUCAUCGUUACCGUCAGGUUACGUCCCCAGAGGUAUUCACUUUGGGCCGACAGGGUUGUCUUCAUUUUUAUUCUUUGAUUUCGGGCUCUCACCAUCUUGCUUGCAUUAACUUGUUCUACCUGGGUUUGGGGUCCAGCUCUGUGCCCUAAGCAUCUGUUGUGACCAGUUCUUUUUAUGUAGGUAAGUCUCUCUGGACUUGUUUCUUCUUAUGUAUUGGUAGUCUUCAGCUCUCUGUAUCUCUGUCUUAGCUUCUGUCAAGUCAGUAGCUCAGUUCUUUUGUACAUGCCUGCUUCAGUCCUGGCUAUGUAGCAGCAGGACAGAAAUAGAGAAAGGCAGUGCUCAGGUCGCCUGUAUCUUCCAUGUGACAACACAGGGAACUUGCUGCCAGCCACAGCCUCACUGGUCAGAGAGGAGAGGCCUUGGGCUUAUUCUAAAACUUGUCCCAGUCUUAACAGUCAGGAUAUUUAUAUUCUUG